This is a long non-coding RNA of Heterocephalus glaber (naked mole-rat), 1202 nucleotides long. Lineage: Eukaryota; Metazoa; Chordata; Mammalia; Rodentia; Bathyergidae. The record is from Ensembl.
CAGAGCGAGACCCUGUCUCAAAAAAAUAAAAUAUUGCCUUGAGGAAGAGGGGAACUUCAUGGUCUUCUGUCCCUAUUUAUUCAAAAUACUUUUGAGCCCCCAUUUUGUGUAUAAAAUCUUGCUGAAAGUAUUGUAGUACUUACGUAGACAAAUAUACACUGUAUGGGAUUUAAAACUCAGGAACGAGGGAGACAAGGAAAUAGCAAACUAACACUGCAUAAAUUGAUGCUGCAGUUAGUGAGGGAAGUCUAAAAGACAUAAUUACUUCUGAGAGUAGAGGAGGCAUGAAAAGAUGAGGAUGAAUUCACGAGAACAAAGUGGUUAAGCCAGCUCUGAAGGAUUUUGUCUUUUGGAUGGUUGGGGGAGCUGGAGUGAGGGACUUGCUUUGAACUUGAUCUGACACAUAUCUGGCCCUCAGGAAAGGUCAAGAGCAUAGGUUACGGGCACUGGGGAAUCAGCAAGCUAGGCCUCCUGUUUUUUGUGAAGCCAUGGGGUGGAAGAACACUAGAAACAAGCAAAUGAGGAAUGAUUGGCAAAUGACAAUGGCUCCACAUGAACUUAAAAUAGAACAGUGCUUUUUAUCCUCCAACCUAAUUGAAUUUAUUUCCAAUCACAGAUUCUAUCACACUUUUUCAAUUCUGAGCCUCUUUUCUAAUCUUUGCCUGGCCUCUAACUGAGGUCUAAAUCAAUUUUCUCCUCUUACUGCAGGUGGCAUUUAAUUCAGGAAGGCUCACAGACCCUCCUCCCCCACCAGCCUAAGUUGGACAUCCUGCUUCUAUUUCUAAAGGAACCUAUACUUUUCUAUUCAAAGCGCUUAUCACCCUAGAUCUUAAUUGCUUUUUUCUAGGAUUAGAAAGUGAACUCAUCAGCUAAGAGGAAGGGAGAGAGAAAAAGACUGGGUAUACCUAAUGGUGUCCUGGCAAUGUCACAGGCUUUGUUGCUAUGAAUCACAAAGAAGAUUUUUCGUGCUUUAACUUGGCAUGUGUCCCACGGUUGCACAUUUAAGAAGACCCUGUCCUUUCACUCCUCGGGAGGAGAACGAAGCAGCUUCUGCGGGCCUCUUCCUUGUCUGCCCCUUGCCUGCUCCCUAGGCUCUGUGUCCCUCACUGGCCCUGCCACUUCCACCUCUGUUGGCCCACUGCCCUCUCUCCAAGUCCUGCCCUCAGCCUACCCUUGCCCAGCUGCUCAUCCUUGUACCCCAC